GCCUGCAGAGUAGCUUUCUUCCACCUUGCGAGAAGCAUUUUUGUCUGUGUUCUCCACAUCACCGUCCAAGAAUGGCAUGGCAAAAGAGCUGAGAUCGGGGAUGUGCACUCGCAGCAUGAGCUUCUUCUGGCUGGAGCCUCUCCUGCCGCUGCCAGAGGAGUCCUUCUUCUUGGUGUCCAUGGCAGUGCUGCCCAUCCCGUCCCCUCCUCGCUGCGGGCGGCGGGCCCAGAGAGGAUGCCACGAAAGGAAGCAGAUCAGCAGAUCCAGAAAUGAAACUGCUGCGUAACAAUCAGAAAGGGAUCUCCUCUGAUCCUCUAAGAUCACAAAGAUGACCUUCGAAGCUCCAGUCAUGUUUUUAAACUUCUCAUCGCAGCUCUGAGGAGCAGUGACAUGCUUUAAAAAACCUAAGCCAAAAUUCUGCUGCAGUUGUUACUGUUUGGUAGCUUGACUCCCCAUAAAGUCAAGUACUAAUAUCAGCCUGCUUAAGAAUAAAGGAACUGUUCAGACAGUAAGGCAUCA
Molecule: long non-coding RNA, 519 nt
Filed under: Gallus gallus (chicken)
Lineage: Eukaryota; Metazoa; Chordata; Aves; Galliformes; Phasianidae
Source: RNAcentral